This 292-nucleotide ribosomal RNA is filed under the name uncultured bacterium. RNAcentral describes it as "partial 16S ribosomal RNA". It matches the Rfam family "Bacterial small subunit ribosomal RNA", at positions 505 to 796 of the family's 1533-position model. The record is from RNAcentral.
GUGCCAGCCGCCGCGGUAAUACGGAGGGUGCAAGCGUUGUCCGGAUUCAUUGGGUUUAAAGGGUGCGCAGGCGGGACAUUAAGUCAGGGGUGAAAGACGGUUGCUCAACAAUCGCAGUGCCUUUGAUACUGGUGUUCUUGGGUGAUGUUGAGGUAGGCGGAAUGGGUGGUGUAGCGGUGAAAUGCAUAGAUACCACCCAGAACUCCGAUUGCGAAGGCAGCCUACUGGACAUUAACCGACGCUCAGGCACGAAAGCGUGGGGAUCAAACAGGAUUAGAAACCCCUGUAGUCC